UGCUAGGAUUAUAGGCGUGAGCCACCACACCCAGCCCCAAAAUUUUUGUUCUUUUCAAGAUGUUGAGAAAAAAACUGUUCACUUUCUUUAAAUACCAUUAAUAUGAUUAUUAAAACAUUAAUAAAUGUUGAAUUAAUUUCUUCCUAAAUAAUCAUGGAGCAAAAUAUUGAGGUACUCAGGAAUGGAAUUUUAAGCAGCUUCUAUAAUUUGGUCUACUUUUCUAUCAAGAUCUCAUAAAAUUUGCCACCAUUAAAAAGCAGCUAGUAUCAUACUAGGAGUGCCUAGCGGAAUUUUAAUGUAACAUUCCCCAUCACAUUUUCUUUCUUACUCCUUCAGUCAUUCCGUUGUCUUAUUUGUGUAUAUGUCUGUCAUUCUCUAACAGCAGAAACCGUGCCUUUUUUUUCCUCCUCUAUUCCAUGACAGAAACCCAGACAAUUUGCUAAAUAGAAAACUUUUAAUGAAGGGGUACCCAGUUUAGAGAUAAAAAUAUAAUAUGCCAUCUCCAGAAAGAACAAUUCAAAGUAUAAAUAAUCAGAAUUACAUGAACUUGCAAUUUGUCAUAUUUGGUUCUAACUAGUUUAAUUAAUUAAACUAAUUCCUAUACUUUGCCGUCACUCUGGUUAAGGUUUGGCCAGUUUUGCAUAUACUUGCAUGGCAAAAUGCAUGACAAUAGAUAUUUAAGUAUUUUUCUCAUUUUUUUUUUAAAUAUGGGGUUGGAAAAUACUAACAUUUUAAUUUAUACUGUUUUUCCCUUCUGCUCACUGAAAAGAAUUAAUGAAAAUCAUUCAGGAAUAUAUUCCACAGAAAAGGUUUGCAAAAACUUGAGAUAUAUUUUAGUAGAAUUUGAGUUUGUCCACAUUCUUUGGCUGUUCAAUUUAGUGUGUAACAUAUUUGAAUAUUCAAUUAUUAUAGUUAAUAUAUUUUUUCUUUUAUAUGAGAAUUUUAAUGACAGAACUCUACUGAUAAUCCUUCUCAUAGGACAGUGGCAUACUAUCACAUCUAUCAAAGAAAAUGUGAAAAGUGCCUGAAAUGUGCUACUGAUCAACCAAUAGCAGUGAAAACUCACAUAUGGUACACAUUCCAUUUGGAUCACAAAAGCAAAGCCAAACAUCUCGGUAAGUGGGAGGAAGUAACUGAUGAACUGACUAAAGGAAAAACAGAGGUUAAUAAGUGACAGCAGAUUAGAAGCAUAAAACUAUGGACUGCAGAAGGAAACACAACUGUUAAAAGAAGGAAAAAGAGACAAUUAAGCAAGCAUAUCUAGCCGAAUUUUGGUACCAUUUUGUGUAAAGACAAAUAUCAAUACAGUGUAACAGACAGGAGGGUUAGCUACCACCUCAAAUUCACCCAAAUAAUACUUAUCCUUUCCAUCUUUCCUGUACUUGGCAAUGAUACCACCAUCCCUCCACUUAUGCACCUCUUGCCAUCUUUGGCACAUUUUUCCCCCAUAAAAUUUGUCAUCUUAACCAUUUUUAAGUGUACAGUUCAGUGGUAUUAAAUACAUUCAUAAUGUUGUACAACCAGCACCACCAUCCAUUUCCAGAACGCUUUUUAUCUGGCAAACAUGAAACUCUAUUCCCAUUAAGCAUAACUACCCAUUCUCCCAUCCCCCACUAGCCCCUGGCAACCACCAUUCUACUUUGUCUCUAUGAAUUUGACUUAGGAACCUCA
This 1671-nucleotide long non-coding RNA is filed under the name Homo sapiens (human). RNAcentral's name for it is "HSALNT0326642". Lineage: Eukaryota; Metazoa; Chordata; Mammalia; Primates; Hominidae. The record is from RNAcentral.